Molecule: ribosomal RNA, 472 nt
Filed under: uncultured bacterium
Lineage: Bacteria
Description: partial 16S ribosomal RNA
Rfam family: Bacterial small subunit ribosomal RNA
Source: RNAcentral
GACGAACGCUGGCGGCGUGCUUAACACAUGCAAGUCGAACGCUGAAGCUUGGUGCUUGCACUGGGUGGAUGAGUGGCGAACGGGUGAGUAAUACGUGAGUAACCUGCCCUUGACUCUGGGAUAAGCCUGGGAAACUGGGUCUAAUACUGGAUAUGACAUGUCACCGCAUGGUGGCGUGUGGAAAGGGUUUUACUGGUUUUGGAUGGGCUCACGGCCUAUCAGCUUGUUGGUGGGGUAAUGGCUCACCAAGGCGACGACGGGUAGCCGGCCUGAGAGGGUGACCGGCCACACUGGGACUGAGACACGGCCCAGACUCCUACGGGAGGCAGCAGUGGGGAAUAUUGCACAAUGGGCGAAAGCCUGAUGCAGCGACGCCGCGUGAGGGAUGACGGCCUUCGGGUUGUAAACCUCUUUCAGCACGGAAGAAGCGAAAGUGACGGUACGUGCAGAAGAAGCGCCGGCUAACUACGUG